RNAcentral lists this ribosomal RNA (253 nucleotides) under uncultured bacterium. RNAcentral's name for it is "partial 16S ribosomal RNA". It matches the Rfam family "Bacterial small subunit ribosomal RNA", at positions 524 to 776 of the family's 1533-position model. The record is from RNAcentral.
UACAGAGGGUGCAAGCGUUGCGCGGAUUUACUGGGCGUAAAGCGUACGCAGACGGUGAGAAAGGUCGGAUGUGAAAGCCCCGGGCUCAACCCGGGAACUGCAUCCGAAACCAUCUCGCUAGAGUAUGAGAGAGGGAAGCAGAAUUCCUGGUGUAGAGGUGAAAUUCGUAGAUAUCAGGAGGAAUACCUGCGGCGAAGGCGGCUUCCUGGCUCAUUACUGACGUUCAGGUACGAAAGCGUGGGUAGCAAACAGG